CACAGAGAGUGGAGCUGGGCGGCUGCAUGGAGCAGGGGGAGGUGGAGGGCUCCCUUGGUAGAGCUCCGUAAAGCCACCAAAAGACCAGACCAGGAAUCUGAGGCUCAGGACCUGCAUGUGUUACCUAGCAACCCCCCGCCAGCAGGGCCGGAUGCCGGCUGCAAACUUGGGUUCAUCCUGUCACCACAGGACUCCACACGAGCGAAGUGACGUGUUGAUACCUACUCACUGAGACAGGCCAGAGCCCAGCAGCAUGGCUUGCAGGCCUUCCAAGAGGAUACACCUGGCUGGAGCUGGCCCAGAGCGGAAGGGGUGGCAGGGCCCCGCACAGGAGCUGUGCUGACCUCCCACGGCCAAGAAGCUGAGCCCAAGAGCUGUCGCACCCACGGCCCAAGGAACCUCAGCACUGCCCGCUGCCACAUCCCCAUACGCCUCCUCUGGGGACAUGGAGGAGGACGUGAGACGGCACACUUUUUAAAAACCCCCAAGCGCCCCAUAUGGACGCCCAGCGUGGAGAGCGGGAGCCGCGAAGCUGGCAGCGAGCUCCCGCCCACCAGAGCUACGUCUCCAAGUUCCUUAUCACUUGUCAGACUGGAGGUUGGCACGAGCCGCAGCACAGAGCAGCAGAUGGCGAGGCUCAGGCGAGGUGGCACAGCCGGGGGCCCAGGGGUCCGGAGCUGGUCCCACACGCGGCGGGAGAGAAGGAAAUGGUAAGAAACGAAGGGCCC
This 728-nucleotide long non-coding RNA is filed under the name Chinchilla lanigera (long-tailed chinchilla). Its description in RNAcentral is "lncRNA (ENSCLAG00000022492.1)". Lineage: Eukaryota; Metazoa; Chordata; Mammalia; Rodentia; Chinchillidae. The record is from RNAcentral.